GCUUGUUCGAUCAUGUCAAGUUGCAUAUACUGGCUGUAACGUCUUGGAAAUUUUCUUCGAUUAAUGAAUCCUCAUUAUUGUUAUGCUGUUUGGACUUCUGCUGAUAUAAUGAACCCACACUUGCAUGGGGGUCCAGGCAAGAUAUGCCAGAGGUAUUAGGUAAUAGAUGUAGUCAAAAGCUUAUGGCAAUAAACAUGAUAUUAU
Molecule: unclassified non-coding RNA, 204 nt
Filed under: Hevea brasiliensis (rubber tree)
Lineage: Eukaryota; Viridiplantae; Streptophyta; Magnoliopsida; Malpighiales; Euphorbiaceae
Source: RNAcentral